This 290-nucleotide ribosomal RNA is filed under the name Hymenobacter cheonanensis. Its description in RNAcentral is "partial 16S ribosomal RNA". It matches the Rfam family "Bacterial small subunit ribosomal RNA", at positions 1 to 300 of the family's 1533-position model. The record is from RNAcentral. Lineage: Bacteria; Pseudomonadati; Bacteroidota; Cytophagia; Cytophagales; Hymenobacteraceae.
ACAAUGGAGAGUUUGAUCCUGGCUCAGGAUGAACGCUAGCGGCAGGCCUAAUACAUGCAAGUCGAACGGUGGCAGCAAUGCCAUAGUGGCGCACGGGUGCGUAACACGUAACUAACCUACCCAUCAUUGGGGGAUAGCCCGCCGAAAGGCGGAUUAAUACCGCAUAAGACUAUAGAGUGGCAUCACUUAGUAGUUAAAGAUUUAUUGAUGAUGGAUGGGGUUGCGGGUCAUUAGCUAGUUGGUAAGGUAACGGCUUACCAAGGCGACGAUGACUAGGGGAGCUGAGAGGC